CUGAGGUUUCAGGUCAUUUGAUAUAUGGAAUCUCUUUCUCCCUUCUUGUGAAUUCUUUGCUUCUGGAAUAGCAGUCAGGAUAAUAGAUGCACCACAGGAAAGUGUUAAAAGAGGAGCUGCUGGCAUGUUGGGAAUCAUAGUGUGAUUUUCUUUUUGGAGAGGUGGACAAGGGACAAGAACAGAAGUCCCAGCAACAGCUCUGCUGCUGCAUCUCUCUGCCCAAACAGGCAGGAGUAAAUGUCAUCAUUAGCAUGAUGUGCCAGCCAGGAAGUCAAGGCGAUAACAGGCAGGGUAACAGCAGAGUUGAGAGGAAAGCAGGUGCCCAUGGAGUCACAUGAAUGAUCUGCUCAUCCUAGCUCUGGCCCAACAACUCCUCUGCCUAAGGCUCUUGUUCCUAUCAUGUGUGAGUAACAGAACCUGUGAGGCUGGAACUGCGUCACUGGCUGAAGUCUGCAAAGCUUCAAGGUUCAAGAGAAAGCAGUGAUAAAUGCACGAUGGAUCCCUUCAGCAGUGCAGUUUGUUGUUAUUGGAGAGGAAAAUUCAAAAAUUAAGACUCUUGACUACCCCAUUGCACAGCUGGCAAAGCAGUAGAGAGCCACAAGCAAAGAACAUCUUGAGAUCCAAAUCACAAAGCUGCUUCUUCCACUACCCAGAUUUGUUAAUCCUAAUGAAAUGGUGUGUCCAAAGGUAGAGGAAUAGGAAAAACUACAGUGGCAGAAUUAAAGGCUUAGUCCAUGCUUGCAGUUGCAGUGAUAAUUUGCACUUUUGGAGCACAAGAUGUCUGCACAGUGGGACAAUAGUGUUGUGCAAUACAACCUGAUGCCAUGAAAACUCCAAUCAGCUCCCUUCAGGGUAGCUUA
This is a long non-coding RNA of Oxyura jamaicensis (ruddy duck), 860 nucleotides long. RefSeq lists it as uncharacterized. The transcript has 3 exons. The record is from RefSeq and is a predicted model, not a curated record. Lineage: Eukaryota; Metazoa; Chordata; Aves; Anseriformes; Anatidae.